CCUACGGGAGGCAGCAGUGGGGAAUAUUGCACAAUGGGGGGAACCCUGAUCCAGCGACGCCGCGUGAGUGAAGAAGUAUUUCGGUAUGUAAAGCUCUAUCAGCAGGGAAGAAAGAAAUGACGGUACCUGACUAAGAAGCCCCGGCUAACUACGUGCCAGCCGCCGCGGUAAUACGUAGGGGGCAAGCGUUAUCCGGAUUUACUGGGUGUAAAGGGAGCGUAGACGGCGAUGCAAGUCUGAAGUGAAAGGCGGGGGCCCAACCCCCGGACUGCUUUGGAAACUGGAUGGCUGGAGUGCAGGAGAGGUAAGCGGAAUUCCUAGUGUAGCGGUGAAAUGCGUAGAUAGUAGGAGGAACACCAGUGGCGAAGGCGGCGUACUGGACGGUAACUGACGUUGAGGCUCGAAAGCGUGGGGAGCAAACAGGAUUAGAUACCCCUGUAGUC
Molecule: ribosomal RNA, 443 nt
Filed under: uncultured bacterium
Lineage: Bacteria
Description: partial 16S ribosomal RNA
Rfam family: Bacterial small subunit ribosomal RNA
Source: RNAcentral